RNAcentral lists this ribosomal RNA (460 nucleotides) under uncultured bacterium. RNAcentral describes it as "partial 16S ribosomal RNA". It matches the Rfam family "Bacterial small subunit ribosomal RNA", at positions 338 to 795 of the family's 1533-position model. The record is from RNAcentral.
CCUACGGGUGGCAGCAGUGAGGAAUAUUGGUCAAUGGGCGGAAGCCUGAACCAGCCAAGUAGCGUGCAGGAUGACGGCCCUACGGGUUGUAAACUGCUUUUAUCCGGGAAUAACGCGCCUUACGUGUAGGGCUUUGCAUGUACCGUAUGAAUAAGGACCGGCUAAUUCCGUGCCAGCAGCCGCGGUAAUACGGAAGGUACGGGCGUUAUCCGGAUUUAUUGGGUUUAAAGGGAGCGUAGGCCGCAUGUCAAGCGUGCUGUGAAAUGUCCGGGCUCAACCCGGGCCUUGCAGCGCGAACUGGCGUGCUUGAGUGGGAGGAAAGCAGGCGGAAGUCGUGGUGUAGCGGUGAAAUGCUUAGAUAUGGCGAAGAACCCCGAUUGCGAAGGCAGCGUGCUGGAGCGGAACUGACGCUGAGGCUCGAAAGCGCGGGUAUCGAACAGGAUUAGAUACCCGUGUAGUC